CUGUAUGUCAGUUAAUCACAAUAUAUAUUUGUACAUUAAAAAAGAGCAUGUGAUAUCUGAAGACAGUUUGUCUCUCUGUGGUUUGUACAGUAAGACAUCAAGAGAGAGCUGAAGACAGACAGGAGAUGGAGGCAGAGAGAAAGGGGUUGACACGCUGCAAAGGGCCACAGUUGGGGGUCGAGCCCACGGUCUCUGCAGCAGGGGCUCAGCAUUGGUGCAUGGGGCUUCAGCUCUACGUUGUGAGCUACUGGACCGCCCCUACAUUAACAUCUGAAAUGUUGUUUAAGGAAAUGUUCAGACUGACCAAUCAACUUGGCUGACAUGCACUGAAACAGGAACUGAUCAGUGAACUGAACACUCAGUGUGACACUGGUCCAAAGGAGAGGCAGGUGCAGAGUAAGUGAUGGUGUCAUUUGAGUGGUUUAACAUUUACAUUUCAUACCAGCAAACAGAGAGAUUGAGAAUAUAAUGUUAAUGAGACAAUAAACUGAUAUUAUAGCAA
Dicentrarchus labrax (European seabass) is the source of this 502-nucleotide long non-coding RNA. RefSeq lists it as uncharacterized. The transcript has 2 exons. NCBI's taxonomy places the organism in Eukaryota, Metazoa, Chordata, Actinopteri, Moronidae. The record is from RefSeq and is a predicted model, not a curated record.